This 468-nucleotide ribosomal RNA is filed under the name uncultured bacterium. RNAcentral's name for it is "partial 16S ribosomal RNA". It matches the Rfam family "Bacterial small subunit ribosomal RNA", at positions 28 to 507 of the family's 1533-position model. The record is from RNAcentral.
GACGAACGCUGGCGGCGUGCUUAACACAUGCAAGUCGAACGGAAAGGCCCUGCUUUUGUGGGGUGCUCGAGUGGCGAACGGGUGAGUAACACGUGAGUAACCUGCCCUUGACUUUGGGAUAACUUCAGGAAACUGGGGCUAAUACAGGAUAGGAGCUCCUGCUGCAUGGAGGGGGUUGGAAAGUUUCGGCGGUUGGGGAUGGAUUCGCGGCUUAUCAGCUUGUUGGUGGGGUAGUGGCUGACCAAGGCUUUGGCGGGUAGCCGGCCUGUGAGGGUGACCGGCCACAUUGCGACUGAGAUACGGCCCAGACUCCUACGGGAGGCAGCAGUGGGGAAUAUUGCACAGUGAGCGGAAGCCUGAUACAGCGGCGCCGCGUUCGGGAUGACGGCCUUCGGGUUGUAAACCGCUUUCGCCUGUGACGAAGCGUGAGUGACGGUAAUGGGUAAAGAAGCACCGGCUAACUACGUG